GUGAGCUGUUAGCUCAGCUAGUUUACUGAAGGAGGUAACCAACCCUGUGCACACUUGUUUCCCCUUUUCCCCACGGAGUUUGAAGAUUGUCCUUUCACUGGACGAGUUGAGACCCCCCCCCCCCCCGGGUUCAUCCAAACACAAAUUUAAAGGCUCCAACACGAGAUUCUGCCGGCGCAACUCGGACUUCCCGUUUUGCCAGCAGAAGGAAGAAGUUAAUUCACGGACAGUUGGAAAAGCUACGCCAGCUACCCUCCGAUCACAUCGACUCUGCUGUGUUCCUGUGCGGCCAAUUCAGGAACCAGCUGCCGCGACCGGAACGAGGACAGCACCGUCAGAACCGUACUGGAGCACCCGUGCUGGAUAUUACUGACGGACAUUCACACGCACCUAAUCGCUUGGAAGCAAUCCAAGUUGGUGCUCCUGUCAGACGCUUCGCUACACUACAUAUACCUGCAUCUACUGCAGAGUCAUUGAACUCAGAAUAAUACAGUGGUGGUGCCAUCCGUCCAGCAUCCAUACAGCCACGCCUCUCAAUCAGACACUCUGAUUGGCUGUGACAGCACUCACUGGAGUCAGUAGGAGCGUCCAGUUCGGUGAUGUGAGUCUUUGUCUCCAGACAAACGAGGACCUGGAACUGGUCACUGUGGAAACAGAAGUCCUGCACAAGCCUGAAGCUGCUCUCUGCACAUGCUGCUGUGGAUGAGUGGACUGUGUCUGAGCUUACGUAACACCUGCAUAAGCCCUACAUGACAACCAACAAACACACCGAGCAUUUCAAUCUGCAUGUGUUCUUUGGCUUUAGGGUGAAGAAAUACAUUUGUAAAGAUGUACAUGGGUUAAAAUGCAGAACACUGCAGGCUACGUCCUUGCUCUGUGUCUGAAGAAGUGUCAUCAUUUAAUGCUACCAUAAUUACUCUUGCGCAACAUUCCUUUGUAAUCAAGAGUGAAAGAGCCUUUCAAAAUAAGGUCUGUUGCAAACACAUCUCGCCCUACUUAAAGGAAACUGUUAAUGGAAGUAUGAACAAGCACUGUGACGAACAAUGACAUUACAUUGUGUUUUUUGUGCUUUAUUUGAUAGGAAAAUAGAGAUUGAAAAUGCAGGGGAAUGACAUGCAGCAAAGAGUCCAGCCAGAGCCGGAGGAACUCACUGCUCAGGGCACCUGCACCCACUUGAUGUGUGCCCUAACCACUCAGCUAUCGGGUCACCCUAUACAUGAAUUUUGUGGAUGUGGAUGGGCAGCAGUUGCUAGGUAAUAAGCUAAACUGGGCACUGUUGUGCGUGUUUUCAAACGUUUAUGGACACAGGAUUGAAACAUAACCAGGAAGGAAACAGAAAAGCAGUAGAAGUAAACAUGAAGUUUUAUUUGAGACUAUGAAAUUCUAAAUUAGAAGUGCCUCUUCUCAAAAACCGAGACAAUUUAUGUCCCAGGAAACAAAAUUAAUUUCCCAGGACAGUCACUCAAUAAAGAGAACAAUCCCAGGAAAACAGGAAUAGGUGGCAACUCUAACUCACACAUGUAGCAUGUAACAACUAGCCUGAUGCUAGUUCAGAUAUGUGGAGACAGCUCUGCAGCCGGUACACUGCAUGGGGAUAUGACAGUGCUGUUUGACCCUGACGACCUAUUCUAAAUGAUUGUUUGUAGUUCUAAAGUUACGCUCUGUGUAUGCAUGUUUAGCUUCGUUGAAAUCUUCAGUUUGAAUGUUUAUGAUAAAUCUAAAUGUUGUUGCUGGUGAUAUUUGCUCUUUGAAUUACAAAUCAUGCAGCUUUUCAGGCUGCUGCCGCUUCAUCCUGUCGCCAUGGUUUCGAUGACAGAUUGAUGUUUUAGUCUGCUGAUGUGCUUUUUCUAAAAUGAUUGUACUGAAGUUCUUGUAGCUCCCACAUUUUUCACUUCACACAUACAAUUUAGCUACAAAAUCACCAGCA
Molecule: long non-coding RNA, 1927 nt
Organism: Seriola aureovittata
Lineage: Eukaryota; Metazoa; Chordata; Actinopteri; Carangiformes; Carangidae
Exons: 4
Source: RefSeq, a predicted model, not a curated record